UGGGGAAUCUUGGACAAUGGGCGCAAGCCUGAUCCAGCCAUGCCGCGUGGGUGAAGAAGGCCUUAGGGUUGUAAAAUUCUUUCAACAGGGAUGAUAAUGACAGUACCUGUGUAAGAAGCCCCGGCUAACUUCGUGCCAGCAGCCGCGGUAAUACGAAGGGGGCUAGCGUUGUUCGGAAUUACUGGGCGUAAAGCGCGCGUAGGCGGACUUUUAAGCCAGAUGUGAAAUCCCGAGGCUCAACCUCGGAACUGCAUUUGGAACUGGAAGUCUAGAGACCAGGAGAGGUGAGCGGAAUACCGAGUGUAGAGGUGAAAUUCGUAGAUAUUCGGUGGAACACCAGUGGCGAAGGCGGCUCACUGGACUGGUACUGACGCUGAGGUGCGAAAGCGUGGGGAGCAAACAGGAUUAGAUACCCCCGUAGUCC
RNAcentral lists this ribosomal RNA (424 nucleotides) under uncultured prokaryote. Its description in RNAcentral is "bacterial SSU rRNA". It matches the Rfam family "Bacterial small subunit ribosomal RNA", at positions 355 to 796 of the family's 1533-position model. The record is from RNAcentral.